This is a long non-coding RNA of Poecilia latipinna (sailfin molly), 299 nucleotides long. RefSeq lists it as uncharacterized. NCBI's taxonomy places the organism in Eukaryota, Metazoa, Chordata, Actinopteri, Cyprinodontiformes, Poeciliidae. The transcript is spliced from 2 exons. The record is from RefSeq and is a predicted model, not a curated record.
AAUGCGCCACAAGCAGCGGUAAAUGGAGAAGGCAGCUCUUCAGGUGAGCAGACUGCAGUUCCAGGUUUACUUCCAGCUUCCCAAAAACUCCUGGAGGUUCUCUUCAUCCCCGUGUCCUGCCAAUGUUCUCUUCACUGUCUCCUCAUCUUCUUAGAAAAAAAACUAUUAAAUUAUGGUAAUAUUUGCUUUUGACGGUCUCAGUAUGAAUUUCCUGGAGUUAUUGACUGAUUAUCUGCUUGGUUUUUUUUUGUUUGUUUGUUUUUUAUUAUUCUAAUAAAGACAUUCCUACAAAAAUUAUG